AUUGAACGCUGGCGGCAGGCCUAACACAUGCAAGUCGAACGAGUAGCGGACGGGUGAGUAAUGUCUGGGAAACUGCCUGAUGGAGGGGGAUAACUACUGUGAACAGUAGCCAAUACCGCAUACCAUCGGAUGUGCCGAGAUGGGAUUAGCUAGUAGGUGGGGGAACGGCUCACCUAGGCGACGAUCCCUAGCUGGUCUGAGAGGAUGACCAGCCACCCUGGAACUGAGACACGGUCCAGACUCCUACGGGAGGCAGCAGUGGGGAAUAUUGCACAAUGGGCGCAAGCCUGAUGCAGCCAUGCCGCGUGUGUGAAGAAGGCCUUCGGGUUGUAAAGUACUUUCAGCGGGGAGGCGUUACUCGCAGAAGAAGCACCGGCUAACUCCGUGCCAGCAGCCGCGGUAAUAC
This 406-nucleotide ribosomal RNA is filed under the name uncultured bacterium. Its description in RNAcentral is "partial 16S ribosomal RNA". It matches the Rfam family "Bacterial small subunit ribosomal RNA", at positions 30 to 526 of the family's 1533-position model. The record is from RNAcentral.